UUUUCUAUGCUUCCCCCCAUUCUCUGGAACUUUUCUCCCCACAUAGUGUGUGUGUCUUCUCUCCAAUAGAGUGUUAACCUUAAGCAGAAAGUGUUUGUCCUUCCUAAUUCCCCACUGAGUUCGAUCCUCGUGGAAGAUUUUGUUUCAAUUUUCCUCUCCAGUUCAUUAUCUAGAUGGAAUCAAUCCUCAAAUUAGUUUAUUUCAUCAUUGGGUGAAGUCCU
Molecule: long non-coding RNA, 221 nt
Filed under: Lathyrus oleraceus (garden pea)
Lineage: Eukaryota; Viridiplantae; Streptophyta; Magnoliopsida; Fabales; Fabaceae
Description: Pisum sativum (pea) long non-coding RNA (PSAT_LNC015516)
Source: RNAcentral